CGUAGGCGGUUUUUCAAGUCGUAUGUGAAAACUUCAGGCUUAACCUGAUGAUUGCAUAUGAAACUGGAUAACUUGAGUACAGCAGAGGAAAGUGGAAUUCCUGGUGUAGCGGUGAAAUGUGCAGAUAUCAGGAAGAACACCAGUAGCGAAGGCGGCUUUCUGGGCUGUUACUGACGCUGAGGCGCGAAAGCUAGGGGAGCGAACA
Molecule: ribosomal RNA, 205 nt
Filed under: uncultured bacterium
Lineage: Bacteria
Description: partial 16S ribosomal RNA
Rfam family: Bacterial small subunit ribosomal RNA
Source: RNAcentral